RNAcentral lists this transfer RNA (74 nucleotides) under Botrimarina mediterranea. RNAcentral describes it as "Planctomycetes bacterium Spa11 tRNA-Lys". It matches the Rfam family "tRNA". Rfam says of the family: Transfer RNA (tRNA) molecules are approximately 80 nucleotides in length. Their secondary structure includes four short double-helical elements and three loops (D, anti-codon, and T loops). Lineage: Bacteria; Pseudomonadati; Planctomycetota; Planctomycetia; Pirellulales; Lacipirellulaceae. The record is from RNAcentral.
GAACCUGUAGCUCAGUUGGUAGAGCAACGGACUUUUAAUCCGUGGGUCGUGGGUUCGAGCCCCGCCAGGUUCAC